Molecule: signal recognition particle RNA, 101 nt
Filed under: Bacteroidales bacterium
Lineage: Bacteria; Pseudomonadati; Bacteroidota; Bacteroidia; Bacteroidales
Description: signal recognition particle sRNA small type
Rfam family: Bacteroidales small SRP
About the family: The non-coding component of the signal recognition particle in Bacteroides
Source: RNAcentral
GGGUAAGUCUCCUACGAUCUGCUCCCUUUUAACUCCCCCAGGACAGGAAUGUAGCAAGGGUACAUCGGUUGUAGCGAUGCGAUAGAAGUAGCUUGCCCUUU